Long non-coding RNA from Aedes albopictus (Asian tiger mosquito), 1995 nucleotides. RefSeq lists it as uncharacterized. The transcript is spliced from 3 exons. The record is from RefSeq and is a predicted model, not a curated record. Lineage: Eukaryota; Metazoa; Arthropoda; Insecta; Diptera; Culicidae.
ACUAUUUAGGAUUAAGUUGAAUGUCUACCACGGUGGCGGAUAGUCAUGAGAAACAGGUUGAAAACGGUCAGAGACAAUUUGCCAGAACACUGCUGGUAUACUAUCAAAUUUGCCAGAACGCAGCUGGUACACUUUAUAAGAUUUGUGGUUUUGUGUUGUGUAGUAUGUAGUACAGAAAAUUUCAUAGUUAGAGCUCGCCUCUAACGAUAAGAAUUCAUGAUAGGACCCGUCUCGGACCGACUUUGUGGGAAGUUGAAAGAAUUUUUCGUGAGUCAACUAGUCUUCGACUCACGAAAAAUUCUGCCGCUGUGGUAAUGCUGUGUUACGUUUAAUCUGUGUCAAUAUAAGAAGCAUCAGUUAGAAACACAUAAGUCCCUCAUAACGCAACUGUUAUACAAAUCGCCAAACAAAACAUCUCAUCCGUCCACCCCUCGGCACUACACGAAACGCAAGCAAACGCAAAAACACCAACACCGCCGCAGCGCGAUUGCUUUUCCCGAGACUCUUCCGGUCGGCUUUGUCUUCGCUCAUUCGUGUCAGCCGUAGCUAGUGCAGGGUGUCGAGACAGCAGCACCAAAGAAAAUCGACACGGGAGCGGACCGAUAACAGCAGAGCAAACAUCGGGGGAAGAAUUAAUCCCGUUCAGGACAAGUGAGCACAAUUAAACUCUGAUUGCCAAGCCGAUCAAUAACUUAUCAAAAUCUGUCCAAACAAACCAGGUACAUUUCGUGAGUCAGCGGUGUAGAUCACGCGUUCGCCAUUCCUCAAUAGUGCGAGAAGGAACGUCCCGUGCGGUGUCAUACCAGACGAAAGGUUGAGUAGGUCCCGAAUGUGUGCACGAACACAAAUAGCUAAUUUCCGCAAAUCUCCGCAGAUCGGAAAUCAUCGAACGACCGCAAGAGUUCGUCCGCGGAUAGCCAUCUGAGGGGCGAUUGCAAUUGAGGAGGACAACGCGUGAGACGAGAACCUAACCUCCAAACGGAGGGCAUUGAAGGUGCGGAAGACGACAUCAUUGUCGGAAGGCAGAAUCCAGGACGGAGAAACGCGAGCGUUGGGGAAACCACAUCGGGCUUGCACCUGCAUCGAACUAAGACGUCCGUCGGAGUGCCGACAAAUCACGUCCGUGGAAGGAAGUCACAGAGCAACAACGAAAACCCCCAGUAGGGGGUUUUCUUUCUUUAUAGAAUCUCGGCGUAGAAAACGGGGCCCGAGGCAUCGCUGGUGCAAAUCUAGACCUCGUUCCGAUCGAGCUGGCCGACAACCACGAUCAGACUAGCAAUACGCUAGGAAGGACGCGUCUGGAACCUGACGGAACCUGGCGGUCACGUACAGAGCAACCGAAGGUGCGGCGUGGUCGGGCUACGAGCAUACGGUCCCCAACGAGCUCCGUAGGCGAGGCGGGCCAGGCCGUUCCAGUCGUGCGUAGUGAAUGCUCAAGUCGAAGUUGGGUCUACCGGUGACCGUAACCACUUCAGUGCCUGUGCCCAACCGUAGACAGUCACGGGGGAACGUGACAAGAGGGACUCAGAACAGUCGGAAGGACGGUGCAAUUCGUGGUAUGGUGGUGCCGAGGUGCGUUGGCGGCGAUAUGUGAGUACGGAAAAGCAAAACAUGUAUACUGCCAAAUUACAAAUGUACAGUUAAGAGAGUAGGAGACAGGGCUAGUAGAAUAGGGUCCCGGCAAAAGGGGCGACAAAAUGUUGCGAGAAUAUAUGUGUUAAGAUGAUGCGAUUUGCGUUCACUUCAUUUGUUGGUGCACAUGCCUUUGUGUUUGGGUUUCGUUCCAAUUGAUUGCUUUGGCUAGCGGGGAAACUUCAACAAACUUUGCUGAAGAAAGUAUUGCGUUAACUCUUAACACACCCGAGAUAAUAGGCCACACCCCCAAAAUGCCGAAAUCCCAUAAGCUCUUAGUCUCCUAUAACGCUCACCCCUGUCUAGUAGGAGUUCGUUUAAUAGGAGUCCGUUUAAUAGGAAUUCGUUUAGUAAGAGACUCGA